Molecule: ribosomal RNA, 371 nt
Filed under: uncultured organism
Description: partial 16S ribosomal RNA
Rfam family: Bacterial small subunit ribosomal RNA
Source: RNAcentral
GUAGGUGGCAAGCGUUGUCCGGAAUUAUUGGGCGUAAAGCGCGCGCAGGCGGUUCUUUAAGUCUGAUGUGAAAGCCCACGGCUCAACCGUGGAGGGUCAUUGGAAACUGGAGAACUUGAGUACAGAAGAGGAAAGCGGAAUUCCACGUGUAGCGGUGAAAUGCGUAGAGAUGUGGAGGAACACCAGCGGCGAAGGCGGCUUUCUGGUCUGUAACUGACGCUGAGGCGCGAAAGCGUGGGGAGCAUACAGGAUUAGAUACCCUGGUAGUCCACGCCGUAAACGAUGAGUGCUAAGUGUUAGGGGGUUUCCGCCCCCCUUAGUGCUGCAGCUAACGCAUUAAGCACUCCGCCUGGGAUACGGCCGCAAGGCUG